Gemmobacter megaterium is the source of this 71-nucleotide transfer RNA. It matches the Rfam family "tRNA". Rfam says of the family: Transfer RNA (tRNA) molecules are approximately 80 nucleotides in length. NCBI's taxonomy places the organism in Bacteria, Pseudomonadati, Pseudomonadota, Alphaproteobacteria, Rhodobacterales, Paracoccaceae. The record is from Rfam.
GCGGGUGUAGCUCAAUGGCAGAGCGAGAGCUUCCCAAGCUCCAGACGAGGGUUCGAUUCCCUUCACCCGCU